UACACAGAAAUCUCAAAUUUAUAUGUCGCCGUUUGAGUUGUUGUUUUGUACUAUUGAAACUAACAAAAAUGGUACAAAACAACAACUCAAACGGUGUGGAACUAACAAAAAGUGGAUAAUUUUAAGCGUAAUAUGUGCGACACACGCCCUUUGUUGCAAGUUGCAUUCAGAAAACCUUUUGUUGCAAGUUGUAACUGUAUUCAUCGACUGCAUGGUUCCUGCUUGAGGCUAACAAAUACAUUGUAAUAGACAGGCGGAUGAAGAACAUUCUCACAAAAAGCACAAACUGAAACCUAAAGAACGGAAGUGUGUCCUUUGUAGCAAUAUAGGGUAACAUCCAUUGUGUGUAUAAAGCGCUACCAAUCAGUGUAUCCAUGGCUCAGUCUAUUUACCCAUUUGUUUUAAACAGGUGAUCCAGAGUAGGACAGGGGUCGUUUGCAGACGAACUUUCAAAAAGCUUCACAGAGGCAUUAGGAAGUUUAUUUGGUUACAAUGGAAGCACUACAGGAGGUAUCGGCUAUGGAGAUGAUUGUUAGCAUCUAAGGUGUAAGGAAUGUUUUCAGUCCUUUCAGUAAUCACUGAAUUGUUUUCAGCAAUUUUCGCAAUUGCAAAACUGUUGGACGGUGAAUUAUGCAUGUUUUCAGGUAUGAGACAGGUUUGACACAAAAUGUGGACAGACAUGUUCACAAUAAACAAAACCUAUAGGUUAAUAAUAGUUUUAUUAUUCACAGCAGUAAUAUCUCUGUAGUCAGGUUAAAAGAAAAUAAAAUAACAAAAGUUAAUCACCCUAGGAUAUUAAAUUAAAAAAUUGAUAUGGUUCCAUAGGAACUUUAUUUUUAAAGUGUGAGGAGCUCCUUGAAUAGUAUAGAAGAUGUGGAUUUCUUCAUUUACAUUUCUAGAUGGCCAGAUUUGUGUAACCACAGUUUUCUGGGUAACACAGAGUGUGUUAAUUAUUAAAUAAAUUGGAUACAUUCUAAGAGAAUUCCAUAUUUAAAUACUAAGACACUGUUUCCUUUUUGUUGACUUUAUCUCAUGUGGAAAAUAUAUCUGUAGAUUGUAGUGAUAACUUGUGCACUUCAUGUCUAUUUCCUGAAAAAUGUUUGUGAAGAGAUUGCUGAAACCUUUCUGAAUACAAUGCAGGGAACUUGCCGAACUCUGUUUCUCAGGAAAACCUAAAGAUACCAAGGCUUCUCUAGAAAUUUUUAUUAAUCUGCAACAAGAAGUAUCUCAGUUUGUUGUCAAUAUGGAUACAUGGAAUAAACCCAGAGCUCCCCAUGGAGGUGGGACUUCAGAUAUCAAAGGAAAUAAUAUAAUUGAGUACUCAGAGUGGAUCCACAACAGUGUUCCACUGGGAUGCGUCACCCCCUUUUUUUCCCGUCGUCUCGUCGGAGACGGGGAGACAUCUCCGCGUCUCUUAGAGAGACAUGGAGAUGCCUCCACGUCUCCUUGGGAGACAUUUGGGCAUCUCCCUGUCCUUCGAGAGAUGUGCAGACAUCUCUCAAGGGACGGGGAGAUGCCCAGACGUCUCUUGUCGCUCCCAUGCAUAUGCAAUGUUUAAAAUUAAAAUUAAAAAAAAAAGUGACUUUUUAAGUUUUUUGGGGGUUAAGGGGUAACUCUAAUUGGACGUGGGCCAAUAGAAAAAUAACACCCGACGCCUUUAGAAAAUAAUAAAAGUAUUUUUGGACCCCACAAGGGGUGCUGCCCCUUGACCCCAAUUUGGGGCGCUGCCUCCAAACCCCCGUUGAAAAAUAUAGGGGGAAACCGCGCUGAUAGAAGUAGGGAAAAUCGAACCUCCGAGUCUGAUUAGGCUCCAUAUAACAACAUGACUUAAAAAUCUUGGUAUUUAGAUUUAGUAUUUCAAAUUUCCUAGAGUCUCAUUUGAAAUGUAAUUCUUAUACUGUAAUACUGUCAUACAUCUUUUCAAAACUAGUUUUUCAAGUAAUAUAUGUAUAUAUAUAAUUAUAUCAGCACCACCACCCUGCCACCCCCCACGGCCGUCCCCCGCUAUCCCCAAACUUAGACCCUUGGUCCCCCAUCCCCAAAACACGUCCCCGCAUCCCCCUGUCCCCAACGCCCGUGGAACACUGAUCCACAACUACAUUAACUGAAAUAUUUUUAUUAAAUGAUCUAAAAAAAGUCAUCUAUUAAAUCUAAUUUAAAACAUGAUUUAGCUGCUGAAGAAUCACCAUGAAGGAGACUUAAAAUCAUUCUCAAGAAACUAUCUCAAGAUUAAAAAAAAUCAAAAUGAUGCCUCUUUUCUAGGGGCUCAGUCUCUUAUUCUGGUACAAGGAAAUUAGGCAAGUCCAUGAACUUCACUCCUAGUGGGAUGACCUGUAUGGUGACAUCAAUAGGAGGUCAAGGUAACAAUGGCAACCAAAUAAUCAAAAGGUGUACUAAUGUGAAUUUGCAUUUGAACAUAUUGUGGUCAACAAAGUUGUCGAAUCAAAACCUCAACAACAAACAUCCAAUAACAUCAAUAUUGCAGCUUACCAAUGCACCUGAAUUGAGGAGAAUAGAAAUGAUAAACAUACAAUUUUAUGAUAUAAAUAUAAUAGAUAUUGAGAUACAUUUUCUUAAACCAUAUGUCAGCAACAUUAUCAAAUCCUUGUCUGAAAAUAAAUGGCAUUAGUAAUUGCAUCAAUUUCAUGUUUGCGAUAUGCCGCUUUUGAAGCCCAUGUUUACUAUUCUAGCUGAUGAUAAAUCACAUUCUUAUCUUCUAUUGAUUGGAGAGACUCAGCAUUAAAGAUAUAUUGACAACAGUUACUGGAACUAUUGUACUAUUUCAUCAUACUGUUCUCGGGAGUUUGGAGAGGACAUUUAUGCUGCUGCAUGCAUAGUAGAAAGGUUUCGGACAGAAGGGUAUGCAUAUGUAGCUCCGUUUGAUGAUGGUCCUUUGAGUGUAGAAUUGAUAUCAAAAGAUAUUGUAAGGCCUUUCCUUUUCUUCAUGUUUCGGCCCCUAAAACUGUGUCAUCCGGUACAAGGAAGAGAUGAUGAUUAGUGAAUGGUCAAAUGCUUCAGAAUACUUUUACAAAGUAUGUUUAAGCUAUCCUAGUAAGCUCUUAUCUUAUAUAUGUAAAGUUGCUAUAAAUGCACCUCUUCGUCUUAACUACUCACUUACAUGUUUGCAGAAAAAAUAUCUAACUUUAUUAGUGUGUACAUAGCAUUCAAGUUUUUUUGGCAUUAUGGUGAUGGUUUAUUGCUUUUUAUCUAACUUGGUGUUAUGCAAAUUCAACCUAGGUUUUCACUGUCUUCUCUCUAGAUUAAAAGUUUGAAAUACUUGGAUGAUUAUGUUUGACAUCUAGGAUGGUUUAUUGCUUUUUAUCUAACUUGGUGUUAUGCAAAUUCAACCUAGGUUUUCACUGUCUUCUCUCUAGAUGAAAAGUUUGAAAUACUUGGAUGAUUAUGUUUCACAUCUAGGAUGUGAAUACCUUAGAAAUAGGAAAAUAAAUUGUGAAGUCGUGGAAAGAACACUCACAUUUAAACACUAGAAGAGUACAUGUAUCCUAUCAGGCAUUCUUUUAAAAUUUUGAUUGAUUUGAUUGUCUAAUGAUUCAAUAUUUUGUUUCUCUUUAUGCUUCUUUGACUGAUCAUAUUGUUCAAACUUGCUUAGACCUUUGAGUACUGCUAAAUCGUUACAUUUUAACCCGCAACUUUCACUAUGAAGUGCUAAUGCAUUCUUGUUUUGACUUAUUGCAAGGCUGUUGGUACAGUACAAUGGGAUUAACUACGAACAUUUUAAACAAGCAAAACAACUCAAUAUGGUAACCCUCUGAACAAGACCUGGGCUGUCAAACUAUGAAGUUGAAAGGGCAAUCAUAGUGGUCAAAUACAAAACCUAACUAGAAUAAACUAGAUAAUAAUAAAGGCCUAUUAUCUCGAAUCUCGGCACAUUUGCAUCCUAAUUUUAUCCCCUCUUUACAUUAAAUUCCAUUGGUUAUAUAAGUAAAUCAAGCCAUUCAUUGUUAAGAAUUAUUAGUUCUUGCUGGAACUUCAUUAACACUGAUGAUAUUAAGAUAUAGUUUUUAUUUCUUUAUCUAUUAAGGUAGUUUAAAAGAGUGAUGGUAGUUCUGAUAUUUUUAUGUAAACAUUUUUUCUCAAGCUAUACAGUUGCCGUAAAAUUAGGUCUAUUAUAUUAUCUUGAAACUCUUCUCUGCCUCUUCCAAUUCUAGACUAUGGAAUAUAGAUUCAGGUGUCUUGUAUUAUGCCAUACAUUCAUUAAUUCAAAAUUGACCCUUUUUUGAGAAAAAGUCAUUACAUAUUUCAAUAAUUGGUUUUCUCUUGAUGUUCAAAUUGAAAAAUCUAGAAAAUACUGAUCUUCUGAAAUUGCGUUUAUUCAUAUUUUUACUACUUUUUCUACAGAGCUCAAUAACCACAUAAAUCACAGUUGAGUUCACUACCGAGAAAUUUUCUGUCAGUUAGUUGUAAAUAUCUUGAUGUAAGUGCAUCGAUUCUUCAGAAUGUUUUCAGCCUUAAAAUGGGCCACACAUGAUGUGAACUGAUAUUGUGAUUCAGAGUUAUUGCUCUAAGUGAACUGGAUUUAGUAACAGGAAAUAAAAACUCAUAUAACACCAAUCAAUUUUUAGCCUUAAAUAAGGGUAAACCCUUUCUUCACAGUUGUAUAUUUUUUUUCCUCAUAGAAUAACAUGAUGGUUGAUAUUUUUAUUCAGUUACCUCGUCAUCAAAUUGUAUUGGAUCGCAAUGUAAUAAAAGUAGACAUGUUUGAUCUCGAAAUUGACCUAUGUUAAUAUGAUACCAACUUCAAUCCAUUAGCUUGAGAAUUAAAAUUUUCACUUACGAAUGUUGCAAGUGCUAUUUGCUGUUGGAUAGACGGAAGUGUGUCCUUUGUAGCAAUAUAGGGUAACAUCCAUUGUGUGUAUAAAGUGCUACCAAUCAGUGUGUCCACGGCUCAGUCUAUUUACCCAUUUGUUUCAAACAUGUGAUCCAGAGUAGGAGAGGGGUGGUUUGCAGACGAACUUUCAAGUGAACAAUCUCUUUUAAUUUUUAUCUUAUUAUUUUCAAUUUGUAUGUUUUAACUUGAAAAUAUGGUAAAAAUACUGGAGAUUAUACCCUAGGGCUGCUUUUAUUUGUUCAGAAUUCUAAUGGAGUGAACAGUGCAGAAAGCUUCACAGAGGCAUUAAGAAGCUUAUUUGGUUGCAAUGGAAGCACUACCAAGAGUUAUCUGCUGUGGAGAUGAUUGUGAUCAUCUAAGAUGUGUAUCAACUAAAAUAUGUACCUGACUUUGAAUUUUUUAUAUUGCUUUCUUUAUGACUCUUUUAUGGGCCUUAAGUCAUACCCCAUUGCAGUCGAAACCUAUACAAUUACCAAGGAAAUAUUGCUAGCCUAAGGUUUUGUUACUGAAAGGCAACCAGUAUUAGAGGUAAUAUAUUGCCUAAAUGAUUGAUACCAUUCCCGUUCCUCUUGUUCGUAGCCCUGAUUUAUUUUUUGCCUAUGGUCGUCGGCCCAAUUUUUCAGAUUUUCAUAAUUUGUCUAAAGGAGGCGGAUGGAAUCAAUGCAUUCAGUUAGCUAUACUUAAGGGUAGAGCAUUUACGGCUGGACGGAUUUCUUUGUAGUUCCGCCGAAUAAAACAAAGAACAUAAAUAGCCGAAUAAAGAGAGUUUAAUUUUUUUUGGUUUAUAGGUGUAAGGAAUGUUUUCAGCCAUUUAAGUAAUCACUAAAUUGCUUUUCAGCAAUUCUGGCAAUUGCAAAACUGUUGGACGGUGAAUUAUGCAUGUUUUCAGGCGUGAGGCAGGUUUGACACUAAAGAGUAAGUAACAGGAAAAAAAACAUUUUCACUCUUUUCUUGACAUUUUAAUAAUAAAACUUAUGAUUUCUGGUUUUUUUUUCCCUGAUUAAGGUUACGUUCUUUUUAGUUUUGUUGAUGCGAUAUCGGUGAUACCGAUCCGCAAAAAAUAAUCAAUGAUGCGGUGAAAUCACUGAUGCUGGUGAAGCUGACCCACAAAAUAUCAUCAGUGAUGCCGCUGAAACUGAUCUGCCAAAUAUUGCCAAUGUUGUCGGUGAAACUGCAUUGUUCAAAGCUGUUGAGUUAGGUCAUGAGAAAAUCGUUGCAGAACUUUUGCCUUUUAACACUUCCACAACACUACUGGAGGACAGAUGGCCAAACGCUUGUGCACUGUGCGGUGCAAAGAAGUGCUCAAGAAGCUCAUCGCUGCUAAGAUGGACCUUCUUAAACAAGCUGAUUAUUUACGCAGAACACCCCUAGAUUAUGAUGCCUGUCUUAAAGGAAUAUCACAUAUUGCAAAAAUUCUUUUAGAGAAAGAUACGUCUUACUGUUAUACAGUGGACAGCAAUCACCAAUCAGCGCUUCAUAUAGUGGUCAAAGAAGGCAACAUCGAUUUAGUGAGAGAGAUUAAAAUAUGCCAAAGACUGCAUAGUAAUUGGAGACAACGAGGAAAGAUAUGGUUUUCACGUGGUGAUUGAAAAUGCAGUACAAUUUUUUGACAAAAUCGGGAGACGCAUAAAAACCUUGAUGUUCUUGGUGAUAUCAAAGAGGCUGAUCAAUGAAGCUGACAACCGAGGCAAGAUGCCAUUGGACAUAGCGCUGGACAUCAUGGACACAGACGAACGCCUUUUCGAAGGAGAAGGUUUUUGGCUCAUGGGAUUUGGCACAGGGCUUUGGAAAAUUUUGUCUUCUUCCAUUGAUAGCAGCUGUGGAGUCUACAUUUGAAAAUUAUCCGAUGGGUUUUUUUGACAAAUUGUCAUAUUGGGUCUAUGUAAAACUGAUAUUAUAUGUGUUGUGACCGCACUUUGUAUGUGGUUUUGGGCAGGGUGUAUAAACUGAUCAAUUAGAUACUAUAGGUUUAUUUUAUGAGUUGCGAUUGGAGGUUUUCUUCUAGGGUUCUUUCCUCUGGUAUGCUCUUUGAAUCUCGUGUAAAAAAUAAAAAAUAUUAAUAAAAAGGUUU
Cryptomeria japonica (Japanese cedar) is the source of this 6920-nucleotide RNA transcript. RefSeq lists it as uncharacterized. The record is from RefSeq and is a predicted model, not a curated record. Lineage: Eukaryota; Viridiplantae; Streptophyta; Pinopsida; Cupressales; Cupressaceae. The transcript is spliced from 8 exons.